AUGUAAAUGCAGGGGUGCCGUAAAGGCUGAGAGGAAAGAUUUCUAACCCUUUGAACCUGAUGUAACUAAGAUUACCGUAGGGAGCAUUAUAGUAUAUAUA
Molecule: non-coding RNA, 100 nt
Filed under: Clostridium botulinum
Lineage: Bacteria; Bacillati; Bacillota; Clostridia; Eubacteriales; Clostridiaceae
Also listed under: 1 other name
Description: TPP sequence
Rfam family: TPP riboswitch aptamer (THI element)
About the family: Vitamin B(1) in its active form thiamin pyrophosphate (TPP) is an essential coenzyme that is synthesised by coupling of pyrimidine and thiazole moieties in bacteria. The previously detected thiamin-regulatory element, thi box was extended, resulting in a new, highly conserved RNA secondary structure, the THI element, which is widely distributed in eubacteria and also occurs in some archaea.
Source: RNAcentral